This 292-nucleotide long non-coding RNA is filed under the name Ananas comosus (pineapple). RNAcentral describes it as "long non-coding RNA (ACOM_LNC005303)". Lineage: Eukaryota; Viridiplantae; Streptophyta; Magnoliopsida; Poales; Bromeliaceae. The record is from RNAcentral.
UUAUGGAGCGGCAGCUCGCGGCAGCGCCCGCGACAGUGGCUGAGGGCGGUGGUCCGCCCGCGCCCUCGACCCGUGUACCCGAGGUGGCGGAGGGUAAGGGUAUAGCGGCGGUUCCAGUGACGGCACGCCCACCGCCAGCGAUCGCACCACAGGCGGCAUCGGGAUCGGCUACCCCCGAUGUGUCGGCCGAAGAGGUGGAAGGAGAGCGCGCGUUGGCGGCUCUAAUCAAAUUCAACAAGUUCCAUCCGCCAACUUUCGAGGGCGAGAAGGUGGAACCGGAGAUGGUCGAGUC